GCACCAGUUAGUACAGUGGUUAGUACGUAGCAAUAUCAGGUUCCUGGGAAUCCAUUUGCAAAUACCCAGACCUCUGCUAACGACCUGGGUUCGAUUCCCAGACUAGCA
Podospora didyma is the source of this 108-nucleotide non-coding RNA. NCBI's taxonomy places the organism in Eukaryota, Fungi, Ascomycota, Sordariomycetes, Sordariales, Podosporaceae. The record is from the annotation of a GenBank genome assembly.